CUAAGGUGACAGUACUGCCACCCCUGCCCCCAGCAGGGAGCGUGGAGGGAAACAAGCACUGUGGAAUGUUGAGCUCUCUUUCAGAUGUGCUGAGACUGGAGUCCUAGUGAGGUGACCAGACGUGGACGUCCAAGUGGGGCACUUAGCAGAGGCUGCGCUGCAGAGCAGACGUGGCUGUGGACAAGGCCACCUAUGAAAACUGGGAACUGCGAGAAGGGAGAAGGUCAGGGACAGAGCUGGGCUGACCCCAGUGUUUCGGGGGGCCCACAGAAGGGUGCUCAAAGUAGGCGUGAGACACGUGGAGACCCAGGAUGCUUCUGAAGGCUGGAGUGCAAUGGCACAAUCUCAGCUCACUGCGACCUCCACCUCCCACGUUCAAACUAUUCUCC
RNAcentral lists this long non-coding RNA (389 nucleotides) under Homo sapiens (human). RNAcentral describes it as "PREDICTED lncRNA (TCONS_00048169)". Lineage: Eukaryota; Metazoa; Chordata; Mammalia; Primates; Hominidae. The record is from RNAcentral.